RNA transcript from Juglans microcarpa x Juglans regia, 4274 nucleotides. RefSeq lists it as uncharacterized. The transcript has 2 exons. Lineage: Eukaryota; Viridiplantae; Streptophyta; Magnoliopsida; Fagales; Juglandaceae. The record is from RefSeq and is a predicted model, not a curated record.
CUAAAUAAAGAAAUAAGUAGAAAAUGAAAAUAUCCAAAAAAAAAAUAGAAGAAGAAUGCACAGAAGUGGAAAAAAAUUAAAUUGGAAAAGAAAAAUAAAAGAAGAGCGCGAGCGAGAGAGCGAGAGCCAAACCUUCGAAGAUUCGAAACCCAGUCACUCGGGUUCGAUUUAUCUGCAAUUCGUCAAGGUCAGAGCUCUCUGUCAAUCUCCCACCCUCUUUUGCGUACUCCCAAGUCUAGUUUUUUGCUCUUCAUUGUGCUUCAUUCUUCUGCAAUUCGUUUUUCUGCUAUUUCCUGCCAUGUUUCCUAUACUCAAUUCGUCCAACUCCCUGAUCUCUUUUAUUCAACUUCGAAUUUGGGACUUUGAAGUUUGAAACAUUUUGAAUUUGGCCAAAAGAAUGAGGGGUUUUCAUUGGUGCAGUGGUCCGAUUUGUGGUUCGUGCAGUGCGUGAGAAGGCACGGUGCUGUGGGCCCAAGUUUGGUUAUUCAAGCUUAGGGUUUUGGACGUGCAUGGUUUUCAAAAAACUUCAGCUUGAUUAGGUGGGAUUUAGUGAGCUCCGUAGUCGGUUUGAUCUCUAGGGUUUUGGUUUCGGAAAAAUGAGAUUUGGGUUCGCAUUGUAUGGUUUGUGGGUUGGUGAAUUCGGGGUUGUUUGGAACUAAGGAUACUGUUAAUUGGUUAUAAAUUGGGGUUUCGGGGUUCUGGGGAUUCGUCGGAUCCCGCUGUGGAUUUGCAUUCAAUGAUAUGUGGGAGGGAAAUUUCUGGGUCGUUUGGAAAACGAGAUAAGUGUGAUUUGGGAUAAACUGCGGUUACUGUUGGGCUUGUGAUUCUGCGGACGGUGUAUGAAUCUGUGUCUCGAGACAUGCAACCUCAGCAGAGCGCCAGAAUUGAUUUGGUUGACUUGAAAGCUCAGAUAGUGAAGAAGCUUGGGGUGAAUAAAUCAAAACUGUACUUCCAUCACUUGAAUAGGUUCUUGAGCCAUAAAUUGGGCAAGGGUCAGUUUGAAAAUUUUUGUAUUCGGGCUUUUGGGAGGGACAAUCUUCCACUGCACAAUCAACUCAUAAUUUCAAUCUUGAAGAAUGCAUGCCAAGCCAAGACCCCACCACCAAUUCAUUUAACGGGUCCCCAAAAAUUAGGGAUACAAGCUGCAAACAGUUCCGGUGGGGAAGAUGGGCAUGAACAAAGUGGGGUAAUUUUUCCAGGUCAGAAUCAGAAUGUGCCUGUGUGGUCUAAUGGGGUUCUGCCAGUGUCCCUGCGAAAGGGUAGGUCUGGGAUACGUGAUCGGAAGCUCAAGGAUAGACCAAGCCCACUUGGACCGAAUGGGAAGGUCGAGUGUGUUUCACAUCAGUCCAUGGGAACAGAAGAUGGCAGUAGUAAGUUUAACAUGGAAAAUGGGGAUUUGACUCCAUGUGAUUAUCAGAGAUCAGUGCAGCAUCUUCAAACAGUUGCUGAGCCAUAUGAGAAUGAGAGGGAGGGUGCUGUCCAGCGACCUGCAGAGAAGCCAAGGAUACAUUGUAAGGAUCAGACUGCAGUAGCUGUCAUUGAUGAUCAGGUGGAGCAGUCAAACCGGUUGAGAUUCUAUAGAAGUCACCUACUUGCCCCCCUAGGAAUUCCAUUUUGCUCAGCUAGUGUAGGCGGGUCACGUAAAGUUAAUCCAUUCAGUAGCAGUGGUGAUUUUGUUAGCUGUUAUGAUAGUGGUGGAUUGUCUGAUACAGAGACACUGAGAAAACGUGUGGAGCAGAUUGCGGCAGCACAGGGCCUUGGUGGUGUUUCCAUGGAAUGUGCUAAUAUGUUGAAUAAUAUGUUGGAUGUGUACUUGAAGCGGUUAAUCAGGUCUUGUGUUGAGUUGGUGGGAGCAAGGUGUUCACGUGAGCCAAAAAAGUACCCUGCUCACAAGCAGCAGAUUCAAGGCAAAAUUCUCAAAGGUAUGUGGCCAAGUAAUCAUUUACAUAUGCAGAGCACAGGUGGACCCAUGGAAGUUAUGCAGGAGCAAGGACCCCAAUGCUCAAUAUCUUUGCUUGAUUUCAAAGUUGCCAUGGAGCUGAAUCCUCAGCAACUUGGGGAAGAUUGGCCAUUGCUGCUGGAGAAAAUUUGUAUGCAAGCAUUUGAGGAAUGACACUUCCCUACAGAUCUUUGCUCAUUCCAAGACUUGGUUGGUUUGGUAUGUUCUGGUGCAAAGGGGUGGACAACCAUUGUUGGAGAUAAUUGUUGCACUAAGUUCUGUUCUUACUGCCAAGAUGAGCCAGAUUUCUCCCAGUUGCUUAAAGCUCUGGCCCUUACAAAUGAAUUGUGGUCGUGAGCAUUAAAAUGUCUGUAUUUGCCUGCUGCAGAGCAUGGCUGGUCGGGAAAUUAUUUAACUGCAACCAACCAAAGGGUUCCUUCAAAUAGAAUGCCCAUGAUUGAUUGCUCUGUUGUAUCUUUAGCAUUGAUCUUGGCAGUAUUUGCCAUCUCUACAGAUCUCAAGCAUUUCCUGUAAUUUUCAGCCAAUGUGGAGGAAAACUAAGAGAGUUUUACCAGAAUACUGUUGUGUAGCGUGGUGAAAGAUGUCCUUGGAUCACUUUUCCUCGUGGACAUCAACCGCUCUAGAGAAUGUGCAGAUGUCAAGCAAAUGCUGUUCGUGUAGUUAUGUGGAUCUGAAGCUGGCAAAGCACUGUAGUAAUAUUUAUAAGGGGCUCAUACUUAAUUUUUCAAUUUGUUUGUCAUUGCUUGGAAUACUGAGGAUAUCUUUGCUGUAUUAAUAUCCUUAUUAUACUUAUCAAAUUAUAAAUAUAUCCUUAUGAUCAACUUGUUGAUUGUGGGAACUUUCACUCACUUUUUCUACAAGCACACUUCUUUUCUAGUUUUUGUUUUUCAUCAGUGUGCUGUCUGUGAUAAGCCAUUGGUUAACAUACUUCGCCAUUCCUAACAGAAGGACAAAGAAAUUAUACAUUAAUUUUUUAGCAGCUAACGAGGACCAUUUGAGCCAUCCCAUGUGCACCAUUGUGCCUGAUGAUUUUGAACUAUAGGGGGGGGGGGGAAGAAGAAGAAGAAGAGUGAAACCACAUGGAUGGUUGGAAUCUGCUAGAACAGAACAUUCCAGUUUCCACUAAAUUUUCAGCACUUUUUAUAUCAUCAACCUUCAAAUUCUGACUUCAGUUUUGCACAUAAGCAUUUCUAUUGAUUAAUGAUAAUGAAAAAAAAACUUCUAUAACUUUGUAUCUUCCCCAGUAUUGUGUAUAUUCAAUCUACCAAAGGUUCUUGUUGGUCAUAAAGAGGAAAAAAACUUGGGAAAUGUAAUAAAAGAAUUCUGGAUUUCUUACCCUGUCAGACUAAAUGCAAUGUCAUAUUGUGCUCUUGUCAGUUGAUGGCCAAGAAAGAUGGCGGUAAUAUCACUCUGAUUUAAGGUGAAAGAUAAGGAGUUUAUGUGCUUUUUUGGGAGGCUACUAAAAAAUAUUCUAGGACCCACACGAACCUGAGAAUGAUGGAGGUUUGGUUCAGUUUCUGAGUGAGAGAUCAACGGUGAAGAAAUUAUCAGAUGCAAGUUUAUCAAAUGAAAAAGAAGCUAUUGUUAAAGAUGUGGAUGAGGUGGUGCAGGUAAACUACCGAGUAUGAGUCAUCUCUUUGUAUUCCAUUUUGCCCAGCUCAUAUUGUACUUUUAUUAUUUAAUUUGGUAACAAACUUUUCUUAUCAGAAAAAAUGGAAACAAACUCAUAAAAAACUUAUUAAUUUUGUUAACAAAAAGGUAAUUUUAUGACACAAUUCAAGGGGAAUGCAUAGUAGACAGAAGCAGUGCCAUGGACCAUGCCGGUAUGUUUAUGUUUAUGUUGGAUGUUGGCUGUAAGUUGUUGAUCAGGUCCUGCUUUGUGAUGUUUGGAGCUAGGUCUGCACAUGAGCUGAAAAGGAAAAGAUGUUUUGCAUAUGCAAAUAGGUAGGGUCUGCAUAAAUUUCUGCUUGAUUUCUUGUUUAUCCUAGGGGAAUCUGGAGCAAGGUAGUCGACUUACUAGCAAGUUGGAGACGCAUCCAAGAUGAUUCUCAAAUUGCAGCCAUGUGGAAGAUGGUAUCGAUUUGUCUAUGGCGGUGCAUAUGGAUGGAGAGAAAUGCAAGGAGCUUCGAUGAUUUUUUUCUUUGUACUUUAUGCCAUUGGUCAAUUGUAAUAUAUUUUAAUGGCAUGAACAUUCAUGACUUCCUUGUAUUUUUAGACAAUCAUGCAUAAGGGUUGCUCUUGUAUAUAUCCCAUAUUCUUGGGCUAUGCCUAUUUUUCUUAUUAAUAAAAUUCUACUUUACUUAUAAAAAAAAAA